AGAUUGAACGCUGGCGGCAGGCCUAACACAUGCAAGUCGAGCGGUAGAGAGGUGCUUGCACCUCUUGAGAGCGGCGGACGGGUGAGUAAUGCCUAGGAAUCUGCCUAGUGGUGGGGGAUAACGUUCGGAAACGGACGCUAAUACCGCAUACGUCCUACGGGAGAAAGCGGGGGACCUUCGGGCCUCGCGCCAUUAGAUGAGCCUAGGUCGGAUUAGCUAGUUGGUGAGGUAAUGGCUCACCAAGGCGACGAUCCGUAACUGGUCUGAGAGGAUGAUCAGUCACACUGGAACUGAGACACGGUCCAGACCUCCGUACGGGAGGCGAGCCGAGUAGGGGAAUAGUUAGGAACAAGUUGGGCGAAAGCCUGACUCACG
Molecule: ribosomal RNA, 375 nt
Filed under: uncultured soil bacterium
Lineage: Bacteria
Description: bacterial SSU rRNA
Rfam family: Bacterial small subunit ribosomal RNA
Source: RNAcentral